RNAcentral lists this non-coding RNA (45 nucleotides) under Echinostoma caproni. The record is from RNAcentral. Lineage: Eukaryota; Metazoa; Platyhelminthes; Trematoda; Plagiorchiida; Echinostomatidae.
GCAUUGCUGACGAGACCCAACCAGAUCGAAACAACCGUCCAGUGC